Molecule: non-coding RNA, 59 nt
Filed under: Caloramator quimbayensis
Lineage: Bacteria; Bacillati; Bacillota; Clostridia; Eubacteriales; Clostridiaceae
Description: Fluoride sequence
Rfam family: Fluoride riboswitch aptamer (crcB RNA motif)
Source: RNAcentral
CGUAAUUUUGGUGAUGGAGUUCGCCAUAAAUGCUUUAAGCUGAUGACUCCUGCAAAUAA